RNAcentral lists this ribosomal RNA (253 nucleotides) under uncultured bacterium. Its description in RNAcentral is "partial 16S ribosomal RNA". It matches the Rfam family "Bacterial small subunit ribosomal RNA", at positions 524 to 776 of the family's 1533-position model. The record is from RNAcentral.
UACGUAGGGUGCAAGCGUUGUCCGGAAUUAUUGGGCGUAAAGAGCUCGUAGGCGGUCUGUCGCGUCGGCUGUGAAAUCCCGAGGCUCAACCUCGGGUCUGCAGUCGAUACGGGCAAACUAGAGUAUUGCAGGGGAGACUGGAAUUCCUGGUGUAGCGGUGAAAUGCGCAGAUAUCAGGAGGAACACCGAUGGCGAAGGCAGGUCUCUGGGCAUUAACUGACGCUGAGGAGCGAAAGCAUGGGGAGCAAACAGG